This 460-nucleotide ribosomal RNA is filed under the name uncultured bacterium. Its description in RNAcentral is "partial 16S ribosomal RNA". It matches the Rfam family "Bacterial small subunit ribosomal RNA", at positions 338 to 795 of the family's 1533-position model. The record is from RNAcentral.
CCUACGGGAUGCAGCAGUGAGGAAUAUUGGUCAAUGGACGAGAGUCUGAACCAGCCAAGUAGCGUGAAGGAUGACUGCCCUAUGGGUUGUAAACUUCUUUUAUAAAGGAAUAAAACGAGGCACGUGUGCCUUUUUGCAUGUACUUUAUGAAUAAGGAUCGGCUAACUCCGUGCCAGCAGCCGCGGUAAUACGGAGGAUCCGAGCGUUAUCCGGAUUUAGUGGGUUUAAAGGGAGCGUAGAUGGGUUGUUAAGUCAGUUGUGAAAGUUUGCGGCUCAACCGGAAAAUUGCAAUUGAUACUGGCAGUCUUGAGUACAGUUGAGGUAGGCGGAAUGCGUGGUGUAGCGGUGAAAUGCUUAGAUAUCACGAAGAACCCCGAUUGCGAAGGCAGCUUACUAAGCUGUGACUGACAUUGAUGCUCGAAAGUGUGGGUAUCAAACAGGAUUAGAGACCCCAGUAGUC